Molecule: ribosomal RNA, 161 nt
Filed under: uncultured bacterium
Lineage: Bacteria
Description: partial 16S rRNA
Rfam family: Bacterial small subunit ribosomal RNA
Source: RNAcentral
GGAAUCUUCCACAAUGGGCGCAAGCCUGAUGGAGCAACGCCGCGUGGGUGAAGAAGGUCUUCGGAUCGUAAAACUCUGUUGUUAGAGAAGAACACGAGUGAGAGUAACUGUUCAUUCGAUGACGGUAUCUAACCAGCAAGUCACGGCUAACUACGUGCCAG